UGAAAAGAGAGUGGGUACCUUGAAGAAGU
RNAcentral lists this non-coding RNA (29 nucleotides) under Mus musculus (house mouse). Lineage: Eukaryota; Metazoa; Chordata; Mammalia; Rodentia; Muridae. The record is from RNAcentral.